This 445-nucleotide ribosomal RNA is filed under the name uncultured bacterium. RNAcentral's name for it is "bacterial SSU rRNA". It matches the Rfam family "Bacterial small subunit ribosomal RNA", at positions 330 to 793 of the family's 1533-position model. The record is from RNAcentral.
UCCAGACUCCUACGGGAGGCAGCAGUGGGGGAUAUUGCACAAUGGAGGAAACUCUGAUGCAGCGACGCCGCGUGAGGGAAGACGGUCUUCGGAUUGUAAACCUCUGUCUUUGGGGAAGAAAAUGACGGUACCCAAAGAGGAAGCUCCGGCUAACUACGUGCCAGCAGCCGCGGUAAUACGGAGGAUGCGAGCGUUAUCCGGAUUUAUUGGGUUUAAAGGGUGCGCAGGCGGGAGAUCAAGUCAGCGGUAAAAUGUCGGAGCUCAACCCCGGCCGGCCGUUGAAACUGGUUUUCUAGAGUUGGAGAGAAGUAUGCGGAAUUCGUGGUGUAGCGGUGAAAUGCAUAGAUAUCACGAAGAACUCCGAUUGCGAAGGCAGCAUACCGGCUCCAUACUGACGCUGAGGCACGAAAGCGUGGGGAUCGAACAGGAUUAGAUACCCCCGUAC